Molecule: ribosomal RNA, 1017 nt
Filed under: uncultured bacterium
Lineage: Bacteria
Description: bacterial SSU rRNA
Rfam family: Bacterial small subunit ribosomal RNA
Source: RNAcentral
AAUGAACGCUGGCGGCGUGCCUAACACAUGCAAGUCGAACGCGAAAGCCCUGCUUGCAGGGCGAGUAGAGUGGCGAACGGGUGAGUAACGCGUGGGUAACCUACCCCUCAGUUGGGGAUAAUCCCGCGAAAGUGGGUCUAAUACCGGAUGACAUCGCCUCUCCUCGGAGGGGUGAUCAAAGAUGGCCUCUGGUACAAGCUAUCGCUGGGGGAGGGGCUCGCGUCCUAUUAGCUUGUUGGUGGGGUAACGGCCCACCAAGGCGACGAUGGGUAGCCGGCCUGAGAGGGUGUCCGGCCACACUGGAACUGAGACACGGUCCAGACUCCUACGGGAGGCAGCAGUGGGGAAUUUUUCGCAAUGGGCGAAAGCCUGACGAAGCGACGCCGCGUGGACGAUGAAGGCCUUCGGGCCGUAAAGUCCUGUCGGGUGGGAAGAAAAGUAUGAGCUCGAAUAAAGCUCAUGCUUGACGGUACCACCCAAGGAAGCCCCGGCCAACUCCGUGCCAGCAGCCGCGGUAAUACGGGGGGGGCAAGCGUUAUUCGGAAUCACUGGGCGUAAAGGGCGUCUAGGCGGUCGGGUAAGUCGUGGGUGAAAGCCCCCGGCUCAACCGGGGAAGUGCCUGCGAAACUAUCCGACUUGAGGUCGGGAGAGGAAAGUGGAAUUCCCAGUGUAGCGGUGAAAUGCGCAGAUAUUGGGGAGGAACACCAGUGGCGAAGGCGGCUUUCUGGACCGACCCUGACGCUGAAGCGCGAAAGCUAGGGGAGCGAACGGGAUUAGAUACCCCGGUAGUCCUAGCCGUAAACGAUGGGCACUUGGUGUAGCAGGAUUUAAAACCUGCUGUGCCGAAGCUAACGCAUUAAGUGCCCCGCCUGGGGAGUACGGCCGCAAGGCUGAAACUCAAAGGAAUUGACGGGGGCCCGCACAAGCGGUGGAGCAUGUGGUUUAAUUCGAUGCAACGCGAAGAACCUUACCGGGGCUUGAAGUGUGGUUGACAGGAUGAGAAAUUAUCCCUUCUCU